Molecule: non-coding RNA, 115 nt
Organism: Triticum aestivum (bread wheat)
Lineage: Eukaryota; Viridiplantae; Streptophyta; Magnoliopsida; Poales; Poaceae
Source: Rfam
AUGGUACUACCUCUGUCUGGAAUUAGUUGACGCUCAAACGGAUGUAUCUAAACAUAUUUCAGUGCUAGAUACAUCCGUUUGAGCGUCAACUAAUUCCAGACGGAGGGAGUGCUUU